RNAcentral lists this transfer RNA (73 nucleotides) under Aerosakkonema funiforme FACHB-1375. It matches the Rfam family "tRNA". Rfam says of the family: Transfer RNA (tRNA) molecules are approximately 80 nucleotides in length. Their secondary structure includes four short double-helical elements and three loops (D, anti-codon, and T loops). RNAcentral also lists the same sequence under 2 other names. The record is from Rfam by way of RNAcentral. Lineage: Bacteria; Bacillati; Cyanobacteriota; Cyanophyceae; Aerosakkonematales; Aerosakkonemataceae.
GGGAGUAUAGCUCAAUGGACAGAGUUUCAGGUUUCGACCCUGAAGGUUGUAGGUUCGAGUCCUACUACUCUCG